UUUUUUUUUUUUUUUUUAACAAAGAACACAGCUAAUAUAAUGGGAUGCCACUUUGAAGAUUAGGUUACAGAAAGACUGUGGCUUCUGUCUUGAUUGUCCUCUCUCUCUGUUUCUUUCUCUGAAGGAAGCCAGUUGCCGUGUUGUGACUUUCUAUGGAGAGACCCAAAUGGCAAGGAACUGAUGUCUCUGGCCAAUAGCAUUGUAGAACUGGGUCCUGUUGACAGCCAUGUAUGUGUGCUGAGAAGCCAGUCCUACCCCAGUCAAGCCUUAAGAUGCCUGCAACUCUGCACACACCUUGAAUAUAGCUUUGUGAGAGAUCUUGACACAGAGGAACCUGAAGAACCUACAUCUGGAUUCCCGACCCACAGACAUGGUGAGAUAAUAAAUAAAUACUGUUAAGCCGCUAAAUUUUGGCAUAACUGGUGACAAUAUACAGCUAAUACAACUCAUUUAAAAAUAGUAACAAUCUUUUCUAUGAAAAAUAACUAUUUUUCAAACUAAAACGAGUAGUGCGAUGAGUGAUACUGUUUUCAUUUUUGCAAAUCUCUCUAAUGUUUAGUUUCAUAGAAAACAUCUGGUUUCUCGUAUCUGCUUCUGAAUUUAAUCUGUUGCAGUCCAUCAUUUUGGUUGAAAUAUAUGAAGAAAAUCCAGCUUUAGACAUAGAUACAUAGUUUGUAAAAGUAAGGAAUAUUUUAAUACUCUUUCCUGGUGUGCUCCCUUUGGCAGCACAUAUAUAAUACUUUCCUGGUGAGUGUGGAUAAUCUUCUUUGAUCCUAUACCAGCUUUCAGUAAGUGGUAGUUUCCCAAAUGUCAGUUGCAAUAUAGAAAUCAUACUCUGUUACAUUAAAAUUUAUUGGUCUUUUUUUUUUUAAGAUUUUAUUUAUUCAUGAGAGACACAAAGGAACAGAGUAACACAGAGGGAGAAGCAGGCUCCCUGAGGGAUCCUGGUACGGGAUUCAAUCCCAGGACCCUGGGAUCACAUCCUGAGCCAAAGGCAGACGCUCAACCACUUAGCCACUCAGGCAUCCCCUGUCUUGUACUUUGACUGGAUCUUCUACUAAUGCAUGAUUCUGUAGACAUCGUACACUGAUCAUUUGGAUAAUAUUGGACCUUUGAUUUUUAUAAAUCUUCCGUUGACAUGUUUCAUCAUGCAACAACCUCCCUGUCCUCCCCGACUCCUCCACCCCUCAAAAAACUGUUAAUAUUACUACUACUGCUCUUAUCAGAAAAUAGUCUUUAAGUUUGCAGAAGCUAUAAUAUUACCUAUUAUUGCAUAGAAAAUUACCCAAAUUUAGAAACUUAGAACAACAAGUUUAUACUGUUUCACAGUUUCUGUGGGUCAGGAAUCCAGAGUGGCUUGGCCGGGUGACUCAGGGUCAGGGUCUUUCAAGAGGUUGCAGUCAAGCUGUUGGCUGGGCUGCAGUCAUUUUAAGGCACAAUUGAGAGACAGUCUACUUCCAAACUCACUCAUGUGCAUUUGGCAGGCUUCAGAAGAUCUACUUCCAAGUUUACUCACAUGGUUGCUUGUAAGCCUGGGUUCCUUGCCAAGUGAACCUUUCCAUAGGCUGCUCAAGUGUUCUCAACAUGUAGCAGUUGGCUUUCCUCUAUCAGGGCUACCUCAUAUCCUGGCAGCUUGUCCCAGAUGAGUGAUGAGAGAGAGAGAGAGAGAAUAUAAAUAUAAAAGAGCUCACCUAUGACAGAAGCAUAGUCAUUUUAUAACCUAAUCACAAUAGGAUAGCUCAUCACUUCAGCCAUAUUCUGUUCAGUAGAAAUGGUCCAGCCCACAAUCAAGGGGUGGGAAACUAAGCCAGACUCCUUGAGGAGAACUAUAUCAAAGAAUAUGGGGACAUAGCUACAUAACCACCACAAAGUCGGCAACUCAUGGUGCCAGAUGCAAGUUUUCCCAAAUUUUUAUUUUUAUUUUAAAUUUAUCAUUGGCAAUAAACACUGUCACUUGUUUUUCUUGAAAUGACAGCCUUAUUUCUUUCACUUUUGAGAAAAUACCUUGCCUAACACUCAACUCUGUAUAACCAGUUUCUCUCAGUUGUUCUUUCAAGUGAAAAUGAUAUUCCAUGAAAAAAAAACACUAAUUCAUGUCACAGAUCAAGACAAGUAUACAUACUAUUGCUUUUACUUUGAGACAAUUAUGUAUUUCCGUAUGCAGCAGAAGGGCUUUAUGCAUACUUCCUAUUAACUCAUAUACAACAUUGAAAUGAUAUAUAUAUAAUCAUAUAUAUAUGAUAUAUAUCUAAUUAAUCUAAUAAGAUUAAUCACUUUUAUUGCUUCAUCCAGGAUAUUCCUAGGCAAAGCUGAAUUUGGGUGCGGGAUGGAGAACAGAUACAGUGCUCAGGACUUUAGACUGGGAAAAUCAUUGUAGGAAGAGACAAAUCAGGAAAAGCUUCAUGGGGAAAGGUGUGUGUUGAGAUUAGCUGGGAAUUACAUUUCAACUGGCAGAGAACAGGAAAGGUGGGAGAGAUAAAUAAGCAAAUCCAAUGGGGCUGGAAUGAAAUGAGUGUUUACAUUCAAGAGGAGAGCAAGGGAAGGCUGUUUGGGAACAAACUGUAGACUAGAUCUGGGUACCUGUGGAGGGACCCAGACUGAUAUCUUCACAAAAUAGAGCCCACCUGAAUGGACAGUGUGAGGGGAGGAGGCUGCUAGACACCCAGGGGCUUCUCAGGAUGAUAAUCUAGUUAGAAAUGGAAUAGAAGGCUCCCAACAGGCUUCCAUAUGAAGCAGUCACCUUUGACUAUUUGUUGCUCCUGAGGGCACCAAUGCUAGUCACAACCACACAGUUAAGUAAGAGCUCCCCCA
This 2811-nucleotide long non-coding RNA is filed under the name Canis lupus familiaris (dog). RNAcentral's name for it is "lncRNA (ENSCAFG00845013864.1)". The record is from RNAcentral. Lineage: Eukaryota; Metazoa; Chordata; Mammalia; Carnivora; Canidae.